This is a long non-coding RNA of Symphalangus syndactylus (siamang), 10870 nucleotides long. RefSeq lists it as uncharacterized. Lineage: Eukaryota; Metazoa; Chordata; Mammalia; Primates; Hylobatidae. The record is from RefSeq and is a predicted model, not a curated record.
CCUGGCUGCAGAGGAGAGAGAAGGUCACACUCGGACUCACGAUCUGUGACAAUCAAGGGCUGCGCGGUGGGUGUCGCACAUGGCGGACCAUGCACCCCCAGGAGCCAGACUUGUCCAGGGCACCCCAGGGCUGGCUCACGGCUCACCGGCUCAAAGACGCCUGCCUGACCCCUGGACACCGGCGCCCUGCACCCUGGUGCUCCCACCCGACACGCGCCUGGACAGCGAGCUGCAAACAAAUGGCCAGUACAUUCUUCCGGUGGCGCCCGCUCAACGGAGGGCAUGAGGACAUGGCACUGGCUGGCUCACUGCAGGACCUGGGGUAUCCAAACGUGCCCAGGCACACAAUAAACAGUUGCAGGCCAGAAACAACCUCCUUUCCAUCACAAACAGCUUGGGAGCUGAGGCGCUACAAAGGGAACAAGACUCAGGCCUCCAGCCCAAGGGCCUUCCUCCAUAGAGGAGCUGUGACGGAGCAGAGCCACAGCACGAGCUGGCCCGGAGCUACCACGCAGCUGCUGCCCACACCAGCCCUGCCCGUGGGCCGGUUCCGAGUUGUCCCUUCCACCUGCCCUCCUCCGGCAAAGCUCAGAGAACCUCACAGCUUCUGCUGCGGGGACUCAUUCCCUUCAGCGAAUGGCUUUUCUGCGGACUUCAUGACUGCCCAGGUGCGGUGCCUCACGCCUGCAGUCCCACUGCUUUGGGAGGCCAAGGCAGGAGGACUGCUGGAGGCCAGGAGUUUGAGACCAGUCUGAGCAACAUAGGGAGACUCCGUGUCUAGAAAGAAUUUCAAGAAUUAGCCAGGCAUGGUGGUGCACCUCUAGUCUCAGCUACUUGGGAGGCUGAGAAAGGAGGAUCGCUUGAACCCAGCAAGCUGAGGGCACAGUCAGCCACAAUGGCGCCACCGUACUCUAGCCUAGGCAACAGAGCCAGACCCUGUCUCAAGUAAUAAACAAAAAACAAACACUUUGUGGCUGCAUUUGCAUCCUGCCAGGGCCCUCAAUGAUCCUGCCAAGAACACCAAGGACAUCCGCAAACACGCACCCCGCCCCCGCAGGCCCAGAGGAAAGAAAAGCAAACCAAGAGCCAAAAACAAAUGAAGCCAUUCAACCCUGCAAAGAAUCAAAGAAAUGCAAAUUCAAACAAGACAGCCUAUCACAUUGGCAAAGGGAAAAAAGAAUAAAAAUACAUAGCGCUGGCAGGGAUCUGAGGGGACAGACGCAGCGCUACGGGUGGGGCUGUCAAAUGGCAUCGCUUCUGGGGGCAGUUUUCCAAUGAGCAUCAGAAGUCACAAAGAUGUUUGCCUCCCCGACCCUGCAGCUCCCUCUCCAUGCUCUGUCCUUCAGGGUCCGGCGUGGCACAGCGACGAGGGCCGCGUCUGCUGGCGGGACGGGACGCCACUUGCUCCACCUACAUGUUCAGCGUUUCCGUUCCUUACUAUAAUCGAGCGUUGCUUUUGUGACUUGUACUUUUUUAAAUGCCAUUAUUAAAAAGUCUGAAAAUAUGUUUUUUUCCUAUGGAGAGAUGUAUAUAACGCAUAAUUAAAUGACUGAGGUUGUCGUGCAGCACACAGAGCCGUAUGUGUUUUUAAACAGCCACAGUGCGCACAAAGCAAAUCUGUGAGGCCAACACCCACCCCAUCUCUCCGAUGAGCGCUGCAUAGUGAGCCGCCGUGCUGUUAGGAGCCUCGCUGCUGCUGCUGUUCUAAGCUUCCAGCAAGCGAGCUAUGGGCUGGGAUCUCCCGGAAUCCCUCCCUGCCCUCUCCAACCUCAGCUGCUCCUAGCUCCCCCAGGGUCUUCCCACCCUCCCUUCUUUCCUCAGGGCUUGCCCACCCUCACCCUCGAUUCCUCUGCCACACCUUCCUUAAGGUGGGACUCCGAGCCUCCGGGCAUACGCAAAGUCAUCCCCUUGGAAAAGGACAUCUGUCCUUAGUUUAAUCUAGAGACAAACAGCGCCGCUAGAGUGUGGAGAAGACGGCUACCCUCGGAAUAAUGUUCCAAAUGCAUAACAUACACAGGACUAUAGGAGAAAGCAAUUAUAAUCCAAUACACGUAUCAAAUUAUUGAAGUAAUGGAUCUGUGAUGUAGUAAUACGUGACCUGCAUGACACAGCAGCAGGUCACGCCGCAGUAACCCGGCAGCGGUGCUCGGCACAACUGGCAUGGUGUCACUACCGUGAUGGGACCCCUGCAGCAGGACGUGGGAACACCCGUGACUUCUGAUGACAGACAUUUGUUGCUGAUGUUCAUUGGAAGGAAAUGGUACGCUUUGCUCAAGGGUUAGUGAAAAUUAGUAAUUUCCUCCCAUCCAGCCUCAGAGGUCCCCUGACUUCUAUCUGUGACAUCCGAGCUGAGAGCCCCAGACAGAGCGUUAGGAAACCUCAGAGACCACCUAGCUACUUCUCCCUGGAAGCUCAGAGACCGGCCAAGCUCACACCUCUCCAGCUGCUGGAAACUCAGGCCCAGAGCCCCGCACUGGCCGCUGCUGGCCCCGCACGCCACGGGGCUACCGACACUGGGGAAAGAGACAGUGGGGUCUCGGCUGGGUUGUUGUCUCCACCCUCACCAAAGAAACUCCAUGGACCACCCAUAGUCCCUCAGAUCUGCCAGUCAUACUGGGAGGCGCAGUGGGAGGAAAGACCUGAAGAAGUGAUCCUGAGCUCACAAGACACCUACACUCUCUUCAAAGCCAAGGGUGCCGGCUGCCAUCUUAUCCAUAAACCCACAAAGAAGCACAGAAAAACGCUCCACAAAAUCUGACUACCCUUUGGACGAAACACCAGCAAACCAAAUGCGGCAACAUCUAAAAAGGACUAGGCACCAUGACCCAGAGGAUGUAUGACACAGUGCAAGGCUGGUUCAAAAUACAAAAAGCAAUGCAUUGCAUCUCAUUACAAUAAAGCACUAAGGAAAACACAGGAUCAUCUCGACAGAUGCAGAAAAUGCAGUUAACAAAAACUCCCCACCUCUACAGGACAAAAGUAUGGAACAGCCGACGCAGAGAAGGGAGGGCCCAGAGCCUGACAAAGGGCACGCACGGCCCACGGCCAACAUCGUGCUCGAUGGCCAAAAACUGCACGUUCUCCCAAAGACCAGGGUGCCCGGCUCACCACAUCCAGCCAACACCAAACUAGAGAGAGGUCUCAGCCAGGACAAUUAAGGAAGAAGACAAAAGGCAGCCAGGUUGAAAGGGAAGAAAUAAAACGAGCUCGAAUCACAGAUGACAGGAUCCUGUGUGUACAAAGUCCUGCGGACUCCACUGAGAAGCUAUUACAACUAACGAGAGCUCAGCAGGGUGCAGGGCAGGAAAAACCAACUGCAUUUCCACACAAUUUCCAGGAGCAAUCCGAAAAUAAAAUUCACAGUCCCAGCACUCUGGGAGGCCGAGGCAGGCGGAUCACCUGCGGUCAGGAGUUCAAGACCACCUUAUCCGUAAACGUGGUGAAACCCCGUUUCUACUAAAAACACAAAAAAUUAGCCAGGUGUGGUGGUGUGCACCUGUAAUCCCAGCUACUCGGGAUGCUGAAGCAGGAGAAUCGCUUGAACCCGGGAGGCGAAGGUUGCAGUGAGCCGAGAUCGCACCACCGCACUCCAGCUUGGGCAACAAGAGUGAAACUCCGUCUCAAAAAAAAAAACAGAAAAAGAAAAAGAAGGGAAGAAAAUUCACAACUCUUUUUUUUUUCCCGAGACACAGUCUCACUCUGUUGCCCAGGCUGGAGUGCAGUGGUGUGAGGUCAGCUUACUGCAACCUCCUCCGCCUCCCGGGUUCAAGCGAUCCUCCCACCUCAACUGGUCUCCAACUCCUGACCUUAGGUGAUCCACCAACCCUGGCCUCCCAAAGUGCUGGGAUUACAUGUGUGAGCCACCAUGCCCAGCUAAUAAUUCUAUUUAGGAUAACAUUAAAAAUAAAUAAGAAUAAAUGUAACAAAAGAAGCAUAAAGGUUAUACUCUGAAAACUACAAAGUGUUUUUGAAAGAAAGAUCUAAAUAAACAGAAAGACAUCCCACGUUGAUAGCUCAGAAGACUUAACAUGGGUUAACAAUGGUAACGCCUCGUAAGCUCAUCUCUAGACUCAACGCCAUCCCUUCUCAUCCCGGCAGGCUUUCACUGAGGGCAGUGUUUUUCGAGGCCCAUCUGCAUGGCAGCGUGCAUGGGUGCCUCAUCCUUCCUUAGAGCUGGAGAAGAUUCCCUCGUUGUGUGGACACGCCACUCACUCAUCCACUCAUCUGAUGACACGUGCGUCGUUUCCACCUUUUGGCUGCUGUGAAUAAUGCUAUGGGCAUUCUAGCACCUGUUUUUGUCUGAAUGUGUGUUUUCACUUCUUUUGGGCUCAUACCUAGGAGUGGGACUGCAGGGUCAUAUGGUAAUUCUAUUUCCUUUUGAGGAGCUGCCAGCCUGUUUUCCAAAGUAGCUGUACUAUCUGACAUUCCCACCCACCGCAUACGUGGGUUCCAAUCCCCCCACAUCCUUGCUAACAUUUGUUAUUAUCUGUCUUCUGAUCACAGCCAUCCUAGUGGGUGUGAGGUAGUAUCACCCUGUGGUUUUGAUUUGCAUUUUCCUAAUGACUAAUAAUGUUGAGGAACUUUGCAUGUGCUUAUGGGCCAUUUGUGUAUCUCUCCUUUGGAAAAAUGUCUAAUAAUACCCUUUGUUCCGUGCUUUAUUUUUUUUUCUCCCUCUGAGUUCUUUACAUUCUGGAUACAAAUGCCUUAUCAGAUAGACGAUUAGCAGAUCGUGUCUCCUAUUCGGUGGGUCUUUUCACUUUCGUGAUAUCACUUGAAGCACAAAAGUGCUUAAACUUGAUACAAAUCUAACUCAUCCUUUUCUUGGUUGCUUAUGCUUUUGGCAGUGUAUCUAAGAAAACACUGCCUAACCCAAUUGUCACAUUUAAUCCUAUAAUUUCUUCUAAGAGUGUCAUAGUUUUCGCCCUUACGUUCAGACCUCUAAUGCAUUCGGAGUGAACUUUUUUUUUUGAGAUGGAGUCUCACUCCGCCGCCCAGGCUGGAGCGCAGUGGUGCGAUCUCGCCUCACUGCAACCUCCGUCUCCCAGGUUCGAGUGAGUCUCCUGCCUCAGCCCCCACUCCAAAUAGCUGGGAUUACAGGCGCACACCACCAUGCCUGGCGAAUUGUUGUAUUUUUACUAGAGAUGGGCAGCUAGUCGCGAACUCCUGACCUCAAGUGAUCCACCAGCUUCAACGUCCCAAAGUGCUGAGAUCACAGGCGUGAGCCAUCGCGCCUGGCCUGGAGUCACUUUUUUUGUUUUUUUUUUGUUGUUGUUGAGGCGGGGAGAUGGGAGGCGCAGGGAUGGAGUUUUGCUCUGUUGCCCAGGCUGCAGCACAGUGUCGUGAUCUUGGCUCACCGCAACCUCCGCCUACCAGGUGCUAGCGAUUCUCCUGCCUCAGCCUCCCAAGUAGCUGGGAUCACAGGAAUCACCUGGCUAAUUUUUUUUUCUUUUUUUUUUUUUUUUGAGAUGGAGUUUCGCUCUUGUUGCCCAGGCUGGAGUGCAAUAGUGUGGAUCUCGGCUCACUGCAACCUCCGCCUCCCAGGUUCAAGUUAUUCUCCUGCCUCAUGAGUAGCUGGGACUACAGGCAUGCACCACCACACCUAGCUAAAAACACACCUGUAUUUUUAGUAGAGACAAGGGUUCACCAUGUUGGUCAGGCGGGUCUCGAACUCCUGAUCUCAGGUGAUCCGCCUGCCUCGGCCUUCCAAGGUGCCGGGAUUACAGGCGUGAGACACCGCGCCCAGCCGUAAAUUUUGUAUUUUUAGUAGAGACAGGGUUUCAUCACGUUGGCCAGGCUGGUCUCGAACUCCCGACCUCAGGUGAUCCACUCGCCUCAGCCUCCCAAAGUGCCAGGAUUACAGGUGUGAGCCACCUCGCCUGGUCCUGGAGUGAGCUUUUGUGUAUGGUGUGAGGAAGGGUAAUAACUUUUUAAUGAAUUAAUCAUCAUUGGAAAAGAAUGGUGAACCAAUUUGUGGUUUUCAAAAAUGGCAUGAAAAGGGGAAAGACGCAUUUAUCCUACUUUUCCUUUCCAGAUGAUACCACGAGUUAACCCAAAAGUUACUGGGGAGAAGUUUCUCUUUAAUGAAUUCCAUCUCAUGAAUGUAUCAGGCUGUGACCUUUCUGCACUCUCUAAUGAGUUAAUGAAUUUAGGCCAGUUAUGGCCAUAAAUGCUGCUGCUGUCACAGGGAGAUGCCAGAUAAAGAACACCCACCACCAGUCUCUGAACAGGGAGGGGAGAAUCAACUCUGAAUGUGAUGCAGUGGCCAGGAGAGAGGACCACGUUCAACAACGCCACACAGAUGCAAAUGACCUGUUUCUUCAACAAACUGCAAGCGAAAAAAUUAAAAUGGGGGAAGCUACAGAUUAAAAUAAAUGGGUUUGGAUAGGAGAGUAUUUAAUGGCAAAAUAAAAAGAAAACAUUAAAAAAUGAAAUUGCGCAAAACUUAUUUGAAUCCUGUUCGAGUGAGCAACAAAACAUGAUGAUGUACAUGAAACAACUGGAAAGAUAACUCUGGACGCUGAGAUAUGAAGCUAUUACUGCUCAUUUCUAUGUAUCAAACAGUAUGGUAUUGUGGGUACGCUUUUAAAAAGAUUUGUAUUUUAGGGAUACAUACUGGAAUUUUUACAGGGAAAACCGAUUGAGGAUGCUGGGCAUCAGGUCACCAGUACGGAGUGAAUUUUUUACAAUAAGCAGUAAUUCUCCCCAGCCCCAUGCAUCAUAACCAAUCCUAAAUGAAUGCCAACCUGGAAAACACCAAAAUAAACCAUGUGAAGAGGGGAAGAGCUGCUCUUGGUGAUGGGAGAAUGGGGACUCUCUCUUUUAUUAUGCAAAUUCCACUUUCCAUCAUGCGGGAAAAUCCAUUUUGAAGGCAGCUCCUCUCUGUGCCGGGGGUGGGUGAUCCAGCCUAAGCUAGAAUGGCGGCAAGCUCAAGGCAGCUGUGGCCCUCAGGAGAGCAUCUGGAGUCCACAGCACAGUGGGAAGCGCAAUGGCGGCUAGUCUGAGGGUCUGGACGAUGGCCAUGCACAGAUGGGGACAGAGGAGCCACUGUAGUGACUGAAGCCCAAGGCAUCCACCCUCUCCAGCCAGCCCCGCCCACACCUGAAACCCACAGCGUCCACCCUGUCCACCCAGCCCUCCCACACCUGUGGCCUUCCUCUCCUUCCUGUUUGGUGAGUCGUGCCUCCACACCUGGCUGCGUACCAGAGAGGCCUGCACAGGUCAGAACACAGGUUUCCAAACCCCACCCCAAGUCUGAACCUCCAAGGACACCCCGAGCUCCCCGAGGUCCUUGCAUAGAGGGCACAGGCCAGAGACAGCCCAGGUGGGAAGCUUACUGAGUCAGCUGCCCUCACCAAGAUACAUCCACAGGCUCCUGUACACGGAGAGGAGGCAGAAGACCUCUCUGCCAGGAGGUCCUCCUCAAUCUCCCAAGCCCACACCACUGCCCUGCUCCAUCUCCCACCACCUCCCCCUGCAGAUACGGGGCCACCCUACCCACCUCACAGGAAUGAUGGGAAAACCUGCCUCCCUCUAGGAGGAGGGUGUGGCACAGCUGCUGCACAGGUAAGGAACCUCGCUAUGCCUUGCUCCCAUCAACACUUUUAUUCUAGAUUUGAAGAUGUUUUGGGGAAGCCAUCUCUGCACAAAAGAAGUCAACGCAGGAAUACAUUCCAAGAUACGGAACUACCUCAAACAGAAAAUGUUACUAAAAUUAAUCCUCCACAUAAAUUAUAGUUUUUUCCUUUUCCUCAAAGAAGGGGAAAAGAACCACCAACUCAUCUAUACACACAAGCAACUGGCCCUGGUUUACAACGACGUAAAGACUUUUAGCCUCCUGCUACCAAAAAGCAAAGGUUUAUUUCAUGAUUUCUUCUUUCUUUUCCAGAGACAGGCUCUUGCUCUGUCGCCCAGGCUGGAGUGCAGUGGCAGGAUCACGGCUCACUGCAUCCUCAAUCUCCCAGGCUCAGGUGAUCCUCCCACCUCAGCCUCCUGAGUAGCUGGGACUACAGGCACGCUCUACCACGCCCAGCUAAUUUUUGUUUUUUAUCUUACGUAGAGACAGGGUUUUGCCGUGUUCCCCAGGCUGGUCUCAAACUCCUGGGCGCAGAUGAUCGACCUGCCUCGGCCUCCCCAAGUGUUGGGAUUACAGAUAUGGAGUCUCACCACGUUGACCAGUGGCUGGCCUCGAAUUCCUGGCCUCAAACGAUCCUCCUGCCUCAGCCUCCCAAAGGCCUAGGAUUACAGGUGUGAGUCCCCAUGCACAGCCAGGGUGAUGUUUGAGGAUUCUCAGAGAAGUUCCCAGACCCAAGACAAGGUCUUAGGGCCUCCACGACUGUGCAGAGAUGAAAGCACCAACUGACAGAAUCUUAGCCAGAGCCCUGGGUGUGAAAACACAGGGCUGGAAACGCCCAGAAGGGAGAGAUAAGGCCCGGUGGAGGAAAGGAGCAACUACCUCAAGGCGCCAAGAGAGGCCCCACAGGCACCAGCUGGGUGCCUCCCAGCACACAGAUACAGGGCCAAUUCCUAAGAAACAGAAAAGCCGAGCUGAGUCCGGAGUGCCUGCCUUGCUGAAGGGCCUGCUCUCCACCCAGCUGUGCUCUCCUCCAGCUACUGGGGGCCAGCUGGCCGUCCGCGGAGACGACGCCGGAACCACCACCGCUCGAUGCUCACGGUUCCCCUUUGCCACACGAGAGCAGCUACAACAACAUGGUCACUUCUGUCUGAAUCUUUCCUCCAGCAACAAACCUGCACUCACGUCCCUCCAAACCGGGCUCCAGUACUUCUCACCCCCACAGAGCCCUCUAUGGAGGCCUUUCUCUGACGGGCACCCCAAGCCCAGGCAGAGGCCCAUGCACCACUUGGAGGCCCUUGGACCCAGCCUCUUGACCCAGACAGACUCCAGCAAUCACCCGAGGUUCAUCUUCAAGGUCACUUAUAAUGCACACAACAGCCUUCAGCUUCCCCAAACCUCAUCCCAAGGCUUUAUCUUCUCUCUACCCAGCACUCCGGAGCAGUCUUCAGAAUGUCAACUGCCUUUCUUUACGCCUCCAGAGUUUGUGAUUUCUACCCAAUAAGCACCUGAAGGGCAUCGAGACGCCCCUGGCCGGCUAAGACAACCUAGGCCACUUCUCUGGCCCAAGUGGACUUUCAGCAACAUCUCCGAUGGAGUUGUCACAACAUGGUCCAAGGCUAGAAAGUACCCUUGGGAGCAGGACUCGGAGGCUUUGUGAUGACAAACAUGCACGUGGCCAGCAGGGAGACAGAGGGAGAGGUAACGGAGGGAGGGCACUGAGGUACGGGGAUGUGCGCCCCCGGAUACUACCUGCAAUACAGGCAGGAGGAGCCAGGAGCUGACCACACCGGCUCCACGUCCUGCACGCGGGUGGCUGGGUACGCAUGUGGCCCCUGCACUGUCCAGAAGACAAGCAGGGGAGGAUGAACCAGAGCAGGCGCCGAGGAGAACCAGUGACCUCCCGCUCUACACCAACACACACUGCCUGGGGCCCCCAGGAAGACCUGCUGGCAUGGCAGGGUCUUGCCCAGAGAAAGUUCAAGAUCUGUUUGAGAACAGCCACGGUGUCCCCACCUCAGUCGCUGAUGAAGAUGACACAAUGCAACACACUCCUCAGAAGUCGCUUUCCAUCUUAAGCACAGAGCCAGGCUCUGCUAGAAAUAAAACUCACACACCUUGUUUGCUCUCUGGGGAUAAGACUUUUGCUGUUCCAAAAUCUGUGAUCUGGAUGUGCAUAUCUUCAUUUAACAAAAUGUUUUCCGGUUUAAGGUCCCUGUAAAAGUAGAUUUUCACAUUUGAGAAGAAAUACUUAGAACAGCAACAUUAUUACGUACUCUAAAUUUUGCUGAAAACAAAAUGAACGAAUGACUGCAUAUGAUCCUUACAGACUGACAACCAGGGCUACAGGCCUAAAGCUCACAAGCAACAAGUGUGGACUGUACACAGUGGGGAUUCACCACCUCACAUCUCCACGUCAUUCUAACUAGCUUUUUAAUGAAGUAAAAUCUAUCAUCUUUAACGCACAAAAUGAAAGCUAUGCACACUUCUGAGCUGACUUUAUCAGAAACUCACGAAAAAUGAGACCAGAAAGAAGUACACACAGAAGCUACAACUGAAAAAGAUAACAAGCAUCAGUCAAGAUGGUGAAAAGAGUCAUGAGCUCGCCAGGAAAGACACGCAGCCAUUGGAUGUGGUAUUUGCAGGAGAGCCUCUCCACGUCAGCGCUCCACGGACGUGUGGCCUCGCCUUGGCAAUCAGGCUGUGGCACAGGCAGGCAUCUCAGUCACACCCAUCCAGAGAGCACUCCAACCAGGCUGACCUCAAGGGCGGGGGCCAUCUGGGCAUCAGCUGUGGCCUGUGAGCCAAACGGUCACUGGCCCUGAUCAUUAAACUGACGUCCUGCAAACCCCACCCAGCCACCCCCGAGGUUACCUGUGAAUGAUGCCCUUGCCGUGCAAGUACUCUAAAGCAGACACAAUCUCGGCCGUGUAAAAUCGGGUACAGGUCUCAUCGAAUGAACCGAUUUUGCGAAUAUAUUUAAGUAGUUCUCCGUUUUUGGCAUAACUAAGGCCGAAAUCUGAAUAUUGUGCAGUUAAGGAAGUGUAAAAACCUUUUGUUUUGUUUUGGAACAGGUUUACUCCCUUGCCCAGGCUGGAGUGCAGGGGCACAAUCAUAGCUCACUGCAGCCUCAACCUCCCUGGCUCAAGCGAUCCUCCCACCUUAACCAACCCAAGUGGCUGGGAAUGUAGGUACGCGCUACCACGCCUGGCUCGUGUUUUUUAUUUUGUAAAAGUCAUUUUUUGAAAACUAACCUUAAAAGUCUGAUGAGAAUUUUUAAUUAAAUGCAAACUGAAAGUA